UCCCUCGUGUCUCAGUGGUAGAGAAUCUGCCUGCCAAGCAGGAGACAGGGUUUCAAUCUCUGGGUGGGAA
RNAcentral lists this transfer RNA (70 nucleotides) under Ovis aries (sheep). It matches the Rfam family "tRNA". Rfam says of the family: Transfer RNA (tRNA) molecules are approximately 80 nucleotides in length. Their secondary structure includes four short double-helical elements and three loops (D, anti-codon, and T loops). Further hydrogen bonds mediate the characteristic L-shaped molecular structure. tRNAs have two regions of fundamental functional importance: the anti-codon, which is responsible for specific mRNA codon recognition, and the 3' end, to which the tRNAs corresponding amino acid is attached (by aminoacyl-tRNA synthetases). tRNAs cope with the degeneracy of the genetic code in two manners: having more than one tRNA (with a specific anti-codon) for a particular amino acid; and 'wobble' base-pairing, i.e. permitting non-standard base-pairing at the 3rd anti-codon position. The record is from Rfam by way of RNAcentral. Lineage: Eukaryota; Metazoa; Chordata; Mammalia; Artiodactyla; Bovidae.